This 496-nucleotide ribosomal RNA is filed under the name uncultured bacterium. Its description in RNAcentral is "partial 16S ribosomal RNA". It matches the Rfam family "Bacterial small subunit ribosomal RNA", at positions 28 to 507 of the family's 1533-position model. The record is from RNAcentral.
GAUGAACGCUGGCGGCGUGCCUAAUACAUGCAAGUCGAGCGAACGGACGAGAAGCUUGCUUCUCUGAUGUUAGCGGCGGACGGGUGAGUAACACGUGGAUAACCUACCUAUAAGACUGGGAUAACUUCGGGAAACCGGAGCUAAUACCGGAUAAUAUUUUGAACCGCAUGGUUCAAAAGUGAAAGACGGUCUUGCUGUCGCUUAUAGAUGGAUCCGCGCUGCAUUAGCUAGUUGGUAAGGUAACGGCUUACCAAGGCAACGAUGCAUAGCCGACCUGAGAGGGUGAUCGGCCACACUGGAACUGAGACCCGGUCCAGACUCCUACGGAGGCAGCAGUAGGGAAUCUUCCGCAAUGGGCGAAAGCCUGACGGAGCAACGCCGCGUGAGUGAUGAAGGUCUUCGGAUCGUAAAACUCUGUUAUUAGGGAAGAACAUAUGUGUAAGUAACUGUGCACAUCUUGACGGUACCUAAUCAGAAAGCCACGGCUAACUACGUG